Molecule: ribosomal RNA, 253 nt
Filed under: uncultured bacterium
Lineage: Bacteria
Description: partial 16S ribosomal RNA
Rfam family: Bacterial small subunit ribosomal RNA
Source: RNAcentral
UACAGAGGGUGCAAGCGUUAAUCGGAAUUACUGGGCGUAAAGCGCACGCAGGCGGUUGGUUAAGUCAGAUGUGAAAGCCCCGGGCUCAACCUGGGAAUUGCAUUUGAAACUGGCCAACUAGAGUGUGUGAGAGGGGGGUAGAAUUCCAAGUGUAGCGGUGAAAUGCGUAGAGAUUUGGAGGAAUACCAGUGGCGAAGGCGGCCCCCUGGCACAACACUGACGCUCAGGUGCGAAAGCGUGGGGAGCAAACAGG